AUCGGUAGGGGAGCGUUCUAAGGGCGUUGAAGCCAGACCGGAAGGACUGGUGGAGCGCUUAGAAGUGAGAAUGCCGGUGUGAGUAGCGAAAACAGAGGUGAGAAUCCUCUGCACCGAAAGCCUAAGGGUUCCUGAGGAAGGUUCGUCCGCUCAGGGUUAGUCGGGACCUAAGCCGAGGCCGAAAGGCGUAGGUGAUGGGCAACAGGUUGAGAUUCCUGUACCACCUCCUCACCGUUUGAGCAAUGGGGGGACGCAGGAAGGUAGGGCGAGCAGGCUGCUGGAAUAGCCUGUCCAAGCGGUUAGGCUGCCAGAUAGGCAAAUCCGUCUGGCAUAAAGGCUGAGCCGUGAUGGCGAAGGGACCAUCGGUCCCGAAGUCCCCGAUCCUACACUGCCAAGAAAAGCCUCUAGCGAGGUGAGAGGUGCCCGUACCGCAAACCGACACAGGUAGGCGAGGAGAGAAUCCUAAGGUGCGCGGGAGAACUCUCGUUAAGGAACUCGGCAAAAUGACCCCGUAACUUCGGGAGAAGGGGUGCUCGUUUGGGUGAAGAGCCCGAACGAGCCGCAGUGAAAAGGCCCAAGCGACUGUUUAUCAAAAACACAGGUCUCUGCGAAGCCGAAAGGCGACGUAUAGGGGCUGACACCUGCCCGGUGCUGGAAGGUUAAGGGGAGCGCUUAAGCCGCAAGGCUGAAGGUGCGAACCGAAGCCCCAGUAAACGGCGGCCGUAACUAUAACGGUCCUAAGGUAGCGAAAUUCCUUGUCGGGUAAGUUCCGACCCGCACGAAAGGUGUAACGACUUGGGCACUGUCUCAACGAGAGACCCGGUGAAAUCAUACUACCUGUGAAGAUGCAGGUUACCCGCGACAGGACGGAAAGACCCCGUGGAGCUUUACUGCAGCCUGAUAUUGAAUUUUGGUAUCGCUUGUACAGGAUAGGUGGGAGCCUGGGAAGCCGGAGCGCCAGCUUCGGUGGAGGCGCCGGUGGG
RNAcentral lists this ribosomal RNA (983 nucleotides) under Geobacillus stearothermophilus. Its description in RNAcentral is "bacterial LSU rRNA". It matches the Rfam family "Bacterial large subunit ribosomal RNA", at positions 1224 to 2196 of the family's 2925-position model. Lineage: Bacteria; Bacillati; Bacillota; Bacilli; Caryophanales; Anoxybacillaceae. The record is from RNAcentral.